Cinara cedri is the source of this 218-nucleotide non-coding RNA. The record is from the annotation of a GenBank genome assembly. Lineage: Eukaryota; Metazoa; Arthropoda; Insecta; Hemiptera; Aphididae.
ACUAGGAAAUAAACUGGCAGUUACAAGUGUCGCGUUCGAUAUUAUAACGUCCGACAUUUCAUUAGUAUAUUGUCAACGGUAUAACAUUGUAGGCGAUAAUAUUUAUUGCAAUAUAGAACGGUGAAAUAUCAUAUUGACGUGUCGGCGUGUUGCAUUAAAUUUCCAAACGACGAUAUUAACGAACAAUUAACAUUGCAGCCAGAAUAAUUAUGUCUACA